AACGUAGGUCACAAGCGUUGUCCGGAAUUACUGGGUGUAAAGGGAGCGCAGGCGGGAAGACAAGUUGGAAGUGAAAUCCAUGGGCUCAACCCAUGAACUGCUUUCAAAACUGUUUUUCUUGAGUAGUGCAGAGGUAGGCGGAAUUCCCGGUGUAGCGGUGGAAUGCGUAGAUAUCGGGGGGAACACCAGUGGCGAAGGCGGCCUACUGGGCACCAACUGACGCUGAGGCUCGAAAGUGUGGGUAGCAAACAGG
Molecule: ribosomal RNA, 253 nt
Filed under: Faecalibacterium prausnitzii
Lineage: Bacteria; Bacillati; Bacillota; Clostridia; Eubacteriales; Oscillospiraceae
Description: partial 16S ribosomal RNA
Rfam family: Bacterial small subunit ribosomal RNA
Source: RNAcentral